GGGGUUGUGGCUCAGCGGUAGAGUGCUUGCUUAGCAUGCAUGAGGCACUGGGUUUGAUCCUCAGCACCA
Molecule: transfer RNA, 69 nt
Filed under: Marmota monax (woodchuck)
Lineage: Eukaryota; Metazoa; Chordata; Mammalia; Rodentia; Sciuridae
Also listed under: 1 other name
Rfam family: tRNA
About the family: Transfer RNA (tRNA) molecules are approximately 80 nucleotides in length. Their secondary structure includes four short double-helical elements and three loops (D, anti-codon, and T loops). Further hydrogen bonds mediate the characteristic L-shaped molecular structure. tRNAs have two regions of fundamental functional importance: the anti-codon, which is responsible for specific mRNA codon recognition, and the 3' end, to which the tRNAs corresponding amino acid is attached (by aminoacyl-tRNA synthetases). tRNAs cope with the degeneracy of the genetic code in two manners: having more than one tRNA (with a specific anti-codon) for a particular amino acid; and 'wobble' base-pairing, i.e. permitting non-standard base-pairing at the 3rd anti-codon position.
Source: Rfam by way of RNAcentral